AGCGAGCAAGUCAUUUGGGCGUAGGAAAUCACCGCAUGGUCCACAAACCGUGUUCAUUUGGUCCUGCGCUCUGGGGCCACAGUCUGCCUCUCCCUGAAGAUCUUCCUCUGUGUUCCCAGCUGCACAAGUAGCCCCAGAGCCCAUUGCUUUGUAUUGCCCAGCAAAUCCCUUCAGGUCUCAUGCAGCUGAUGUGUUCGGUUGCUAGCAAGUAGGAAGUGCCUGCACUGGGCAUCAGUGGCAUCGCAGAGAUGUUGAUGAGCCAAGAGAAGGCUACUGACCAAACAUAAGAGGAAUUGGGCACCUAAUCUUCUCACCUGAACUCUUCUGAAAAACCCUGCCAUCACUCAGCGCACCAAAUGCCGCUGGCACAGUGCCACUUCCAUCAGUGGCAUGUCUCGCUAGCAAACUUACCCAGAGUCUGUAACUGAAAACCACAAAGAGAGAGAGAGACAGAACUGGAAGAGAAGUUGUUCUUCAUGUCCAGGCAUUUGUAUACCAGGCCCAACACAUGGAUCCUUCAGAGGAAGACGUAUGCUGAGCCCUAAUGAAUUCAGCUAUGCAGUGAUGGUCUUAAUUGCUGAGAACCUGCAGUAGCAGAAGAACCCUUUCUACUACACUGACACCUGCAAAUCUCCAUCUAGAGGCAAGUUGGGGCAGUCCAGAGUAAAGACAGAAAAGCCACAGCACACUCAUGACCCUAUGAAGAAUAGCAACCACAGAGAGUCUGUUCAGGCACCCUAAAAUGAGGUGGAAUUCAAUUUCCCCCAGCUUCCCAGACAUAGCUAUGAGUUUGAAGUUGGAUUGGACUCCAUAUGGACUCCAGAAAAGAGAUCUGUUCCAACCUCAU
This is a long non-coding RNA of Vidua chalybeata, 847 nucleotides long. RefSeq lists it as uncharacterized. The record is from RefSeq and is a predicted model, not a curated record. Lineage: Eukaryota; Metazoa; Chordata; Aves; Passeriformes; Viduidae. The transcript is spliced from 4 exons.